RNAcentral lists this ribosomal RNA (492 nucleotides) under uncultured bacterium. RNAcentral's name for it is "partial 16S ribosomal RNA". It matches the Rfam family "Bacterial small subunit ribosomal RNA", at positions 29 to 507 of the family's 1533-position model. The record is from RNAcentral.
AGUGAACGCUGGCGGUAGGCCUAACACAUGCAAGUCGAACGGCAGCACAGUAAGAGCUUGCUCUUACGGGUGGCGAGUGGCGGACGGGUGAGGAAUACAUCGGAAUCUACUUUUUCGUGGGGGAUAACGUAGGGAAACUUACGCUAAUACCGCAUACGACCUACGGGUGAAAGCAGGGGAUCUUCGGACCUUGCGCGAUUGAAUGAGCCGAUGUCGGAUUAGCUAGUUGGCGGGGUAAAGGCCCACCAAGGCGACGAUCCGUAGCUGGUCUGAGAGGAUGAUCAGCCACACUGGAACUGAGACACGGUCCAGACUCCUACGGGAGGCAGCGGUGGGGAAUAUUGGACAAUGGGCGCAAGCCUGAUCCAGCCAUACCGCGUGGGUGAAGAAGGCCUUCGGGUUGUAAAGCCCUUUUGUUGGGAAAGAAAAGCAGCAGGUUAAUACCCCGCUGUUCUGACGGUACCCAAAGAAUAAGUACCGGCUAACUUCGUG